Molecule: ribosomal RNA, 253 nt
Filed under: uncultured bacterium
Lineage: Bacteria
Description: partial 16S ribosomal RNA
Rfam family: Bacterial small subunit ribosomal RNA
Source: RNAcentral
UACGGAGGGUGCAAGCGUUGCUCGGAAUCACUGGGCGUAAAGCGAACGCAGGCGGACGUUUAAGUCGGAUGUGAAAUCCCCGGGCUCAACCUGGGUCGUGCAUUCGAUACUGAACAUCUUGAGUUCGGAAGAGGGUGGUGGAAUCCCUGGUGUAGAGGUGAAAUUCGUUGAUAUCAGGGGGAACAUCGGCGGCGAAGGCGGCCACCGGGUCCGAUAUUGACGCUCAUGUUCGAAAGCGUGGGGAGCAAACAGG